RNAcentral lists this transfer RNA (90 nucleotides) under Alphaproteobacteria bacterium. RNAcentral describes it as "tRNA-Ser". It matches the Rfam family "tRNA". From Rfam's summary of the family: Transfer RNA (tRNA) molecules are approximately 80 nucleotides in length. Lineage: Bacteria; Pseudomonadati; Pseudomonadota; Alphaproteobacteria. The record is from RNAcentral.
GGAUGGGUGGCCGAGUGGUUUAAGGCACCGGUCUUGAAAACCGGCGGAAUCGCAAGGUUCCCGUGAGUUCGAAUCUCACCCCAUCCGCCA